This 150-nucleotide ribosomal RNA is filed under the name Triticum aestivum (bread wheat). RNAcentral describes it as "partial small subunit ribosomal RNA". Lineage: Eukaryota; Viridiplantae; Streptophyta; Magnoliopsida; Poales; Poaceae. The record is from RNAcentral.
AAGAAUAGUGUUAUUGUACCUACUAAAGAAAUAAAACUCAUUAUCAAAGGUAAAGAUAUGAAAAGAGGAAGAAGUCGAGCUAGAAGAAAAAUUCCCACAGCAACCAUAGUUGCUACGUGUAUAAGAGCCAAAAGAUUGUCUCUCAAAUGA